Taeniopygia guttata (zebra finch) is the source of this 2237-nucleotide non-coding RNA. The record is from RefSeq and is a predicted model, not a curated record. Lineage: Eukaryota; Metazoa; Chordata; Aves; Passeriformes; Estrildidae.
GACUCAAUUUGCUGGGGGCAUUUAUUUCUCUGUCUCUUCCUCUCUCUCUCUCUCUCUUGUUUUUUACAAUCUAUGUGUAAUGACUAAUUGGCUGUGUUUUCCCAGCUAUUUUAUGUUUCUCUUGCCCUGGUUACAACGCGUACUAAAGCAGUAUAUCCACAGGGACCUAUAGACAGCCAACACUGCCAAAUGAUACGCAGCAUUCCCUUUCUCUCUAAGUGUAAAACAUUUACAAGUAAAUUUACAAAUGCAUUAAGAACAUUUCCUCAGUUGACUGUUAGUGUUUAUUUCUUCCCUUUCUCCUCGCGGGAGCAGACACCUUCCAGCCCCUCAACUUUCACACAGUGCUCUCCCGUUAUUUGCCUCCCUGUCGCCCCUUUCCCUCCUCUCCCUCCUCCUCCUCCUCCUCCUUUUCCAGUUCAGCGGCGCAAAUUUCUGUUUGUGCCAGUGGGGCGGCCUGGCGAGACCGCAAUUGCUCUACCCCACAGAUUGACGAGCCCUCAGAUGCCGAUUUACUGUACAUGGCAGCCACGCUGGAGCCGCGGCACAUCUGGAGUGGAGAUGUUCCAGGAUGAUGCCAGUAGAAAUGGGCCAAAAUUCCCCAUGAAACAUCUUGCCCAGGUCUCAGCAUUCUCACCAGGGGAAGCAGUGAGCAUUACCUCCUUAUGGCUGCUUAGAAACCGCUCGAGGUGAAACUCUGUAAGGAGAAGACUCUGCAUGGGAGAGGUGUCGAUCAGCAUGGAAAGACUGAAUUGCACAUCUUCAAGGUCCAGAACGACCUUUCUGUGCCUGAAGACAGGAGCAGCAUCAUGGGUCCAGGGAGAAAUGCAGGGAUGGCACACCAUUUUGCAUGAUCUAGGUGACUACUGAGUUGGAUAAAGUGGUUUCUUUGCAGUGAAAUGAUUUAUUUAGAAAAAACUCCACAUGUCUACAUGGAAAGGCUGAUGGAACCAGUCUCAAAAGCAAAGCUGUUUGGCAAACUUCAAGAGAGAUCUUGGCAGAUGACUGAAAUCUAAAGCUUUAAGAGACAGUUGGAUUUUAGCUGAGUUUUUCUGUAAGCCUGCAGGGCUCCGGCUGGCAGACCAUUGCUCAACCUUUUGACUGUCAGGGUGGAGGAUUGAUGGCCUAUCAUUGCAGGAUGGCCCACCAAGUAGUCUACCUUUGAACUAAAGACCUCAGGCCUUCCAGGUUUCAAAACUGGGACAACACUUGUUUUCAAACUUUUUUUAUGUGUUUUGGUAUUCAUUGGAAAUAUUUUUAUGAAUUACCAAAUCCUGACCCCAAAAAGUGCUCCAUAGGAAUUUUUUUAACAGCUCUAUUCUAGUCUAAGUUUAGUGACCCUGAGGGGAAAAAAAAGUUUCUCCAUAAAGGAGAAAUAAAACAGAAUCCAGUGAAUUAGUCCGAAGCAGUACUUCUCUGACCCUUACUUACUGGGCAACUGUGCCUGUAAUCCCACUGGUGUCCUUGGACAUCCAGUUUGUUUUGGGCUCAGUUAUAUAGUUCUUGUCCUAAUUUUAAACAUGAUGUCUUGGUAAGAAUUGUUUAAGCAUGGGGUUUUUUUCCCUGUUCCAUUUACUGCACAUUUGAAGUUGAUUCAGCUCCCUGUUUUGCACUAAUGCCAAAAGUGUCCAUGAAGUCUCAAAAUGAAAUAAUCUUGGUAGAUGACUAUGCAUCCUACUGAUUAUGCUAUUGUUAUAAUAUUAAUAGCAUACGCUCCAACUUAAGCAAUGUGCAGGUGCAAAACUCUCAUUCAGCAGUACAUAACUCUUUCAUCUGCCGUUUCUUGCCAGUAGAUUUCCUGCCCAUAUGAAUGUUUCUUGUGAAAUUUCUGGAGAAUAGCUGUUGGAAUUUUGCCAGUUGUAAGAAAACAAAUGCACAAACAACCCAGUUCCAAAACUCAACCUACUCCCCCUUCCCCAGUAGUCUCUUUUUGCAAUGACUAAUUCAUAAUAGAUGUUCUGAAUCUAACAGAAAUUACCAAUUGUGACAAAAUAAACAGUGUGGAUUAAUGUAAAGGCAAAAGUAAAAACUCUCCUAGUCGUGCCAAUAAUGUCACCUCAGUGUGCCUGUGUGUUGAUGUUGCCAUGUAUCACAAUACAUGUGCGUACCUCACUUUAAAUAUGUGCCCAUGCUUGUCCUGAGUCAUUCACUCUGUAACACUUCCUUCGAAUCCUACCCAUAUAUAUUAACUUCAAAAGACAAUUGGUCUUUCAAAUAAUAACCAAUUUUGAGAGAAA